UUAUCGGUCCUUUUAAGGUCCACUAAUAAAUGAAGUAAAACUCAUU
This is a non-coding RNA of Beta vulgaris subsp. vulgaris (sugar beet), 46 nucleotides long. The record is from Rfam. NCBI's taxonomy places the organism in Eukaryota, Viridiplantae, Streptophyta, Magnoliopsida, Caryophyllales, Amaranthaceae.